This 250-nucleotide ribosomal RNA is filed under the name uncultured bacterium. RNAcentral's name for it is "partial 16S ribosomal RNA". It matches the Rfam family "Bacterial small subunit ribosomal RNA", at positions 334 to 598 of the family's 1533-position model. The record is from RNAcentral.
CUGUCCUACGGGGCGCAGCAGUGGGGGAUAUUGGACAAUGGGGGAAACCCUGAUCCAGCGACGCCGCGUGAGUGAAGAAGUAUUUCGGUAUGUAAAGCUCUAUCAGCAGGGAAGAAAGAAAUGACGGUACCUGACUAAGAAGCCCCGGCUAACUACGUGCCAGCAGCCGCGGUAAUACGUAGGGGGCAAGCGUUAUCCGGAUUUACUGGGUGUAAAGGGAGCGUAGACGGUGUGGCAAGUCUGAAGCGAA